RNAcentral lists this ribosomal RNA (207 nucleotides) under uncultured bacterium. Its description in RNAcentral is "partial 16S ribosomal RNA". It matches the Rfam family "Bacterial small subunit ribosomal RNA", at positions 568 to 774 of the family's 1533-position model. The record is from RNAcentral.
AACGUAGGCGGUGUUCCAUGUCAGAGGUGAAAGCCUGGGGCUCAACUCCAGAAUUGCCUUUGAAACGGGAACGCUUGAGUCCGAGAGAGGAUGGCGGAAUUCCUAGUGUAGAGGUGAAAUUCGUAGAUAUUAGGAAGAACACCAGUGGCGAAGGCGGCCAUCUGGCUCGGUACUGACGCUCAGGUUCGAAAGCGUGGGGAGCAAACA